AUCCAUUCAUGAUCCAAUGUCGUUUCCUUCUAUUGUGUCGUCAUGACCUGUUCUCACUAAUAGGGUGAUUUGAGUCGUCUUCCAACGCAACUUCUGACCUAUCUUCUCGACUUCUUAAGGACUAACGAGUAAAAAACUGAUAAUACGCACACCAGUGCACUAUAGUUAGCAUGAGCUGAAACCUUUUGGGUGAGACAUUCACAUCCUCGCGCAGAAGGAAGUGACACUCGAAUCUUUGUCUCUACACCAGACUCCAACAUCCUUAACGUAGCACAGUACGAAAAACUCACAUAUGACCGACCACAGUACGAAGAAAUAACAUAAUUUCAUCUCUACAUCUCAAACCAAUACACAUUCUUAAUAACAUGCAUUGCUCACCAAUCAUAAAGUUUAUAACGCUUUUCUCAUUACCUUUUAUGCAUAAUCUUAAUACUAUACAUUAACCAUCCAACACAAAAUUUAUAACAUAAUACUAUAUUAAUCCUUUAAUUAGCACAACCAAAAUUUAAUCAAUGACCAUCAAUAGAUCCACUCGGAUCCCCCCAUUCAACACUAUGCCCCACCACUCAUGAACGUAACAUCAUUAAAGCAAAAAAAAAAAAAAUCUAGAAUUUAACACCUACUCAAAAGUUCAAUACACCUACCACAAUCCAAAUUUAUUCUUCACAUAGCGGCCCACAUCCAUUUAUAACACCCUUUUCUAAAUUUUUCCAACCCAAAUAAUUAAUUACCCCUUUGCCUAUUGAUGUACGUUUGACAACCAUGAAAAUGGGUGUUCUCUCUUUUUCCUCAAAUUGUGGCAGACCCACAGGUUACUACCCAAUUUCCUACUCAAUAUUCUCAUCUUAUCCCUUAUCAAAAUAACAUCAGUGUAUCAUAUAAACUCCAUGCCAAAAACCUUUUCUGAAUACUUCUCCACGUGGGACCCACAACCAUUAAUAUCCUUUAAAAUUUCACCUUCUCUCUCCCGAAUUGGUACGUAAAGUCUGUUCAUGCAAACUCCCCCCUUAUUUCUUCAUUCUUUUCUCUUCCAAUCUCCUUCACUUUUGACCAACCCAUUCCUCUCCUUCUCUUUUACUACCGUUAUAACCCUUCUUUCCCUUCUUUUCAUUUUUCUUUAUUGAAAAAUUAUAUUUUAACAUCAUUUUUUUGACAUCAUUUUGACACUGCACACGUGUCAAAAUAUGGUUGGACGAUUUCAAAUUAAAAAAAAAAAAAAACUUUGGUUUUUCUCUUCCAAAUAUAUCCCUAUCUCAGCUUUUUUUAAUUUGAAAUCGUCCAACCACAUUUUGACACGUGUACAGUGUCAAAAUAGUGUCAAAAAAUAGUGUUAAAAUAUCAUUUUCCUUCUUUAUUUUACUCAACUUCCAAAACCCACUAACAUAUUCUUUCAUUCCCCUUUCGUAACAUUGCAUGCAACAACCCAUUCUUCUCCACAACAUAAUCAACACACACCUUCUAACACUUAUAAAGCUCAUCACCCUCUCAUCACUUCUUCCUCAAAGAUAUUCAUGUGAAACCAUUCAAGAUACCAUUACACUCUCUUUCUUCCAUUAUAAAAUCUUUUAAUCUCUUCUUAUCUUCCAUCUAUAAAGCAAACCCCUUUAGACGCGAAGCCAUGCGAGUAAGGACUCAACUUCUCUCUUUUUGCGUAAACAUCAACCUUCACCUGCUACCAUGCACUCAACACGUGAAUGUUCACGUAAUCACUUCUUAAAGCACAUAAGAAAGGUUAAUCCCAUCAAAACCCUUUUAAUGAACCUGUAUCGACAACACUAAUUGCCUCCCCUCACUUUCCAUUUUCCUUUUACCCAAUCGUGCUUACACCCAUGCAAGGUCUCCCUUUGGGAGUAUCACUCUCUAUUUUGAUGUUUUCUUUCAUCAAUCUCCUCACAUUCACGUAACCACCACCCAAGUAUCCCUUCAAUUAAAAACCAAGGGCCUUCUUCUUCUACACAAGUCUUCCUUCUCCUAACAACCCUAGACCAUCCUACUGCAACUUCCUCUGCAACUAUUUCACAAACUCUUUUCAAGAUAACAACACUCUUCUUGUAUAACAUCUUCCCUUCAUCUUCUUUUUCUCUCAGCAACCCUUAUUUACUUUCUUCAAACCCAACUAAAGUCACUUAAUAACCAAAACCCAAACCACUUCCGCUCUCUAGCCUCUUUUGUCUUCUCACUACUACCUAAAUAACAACCAAUUUCCAUGUUCCAAACACUUUCUUUUCCUUUAUUUACAACAUGUAAAACAUCUUCUCUAUUGCGUAAAGAAAAACGCCACCCCAUUCCAGUGCCCAAGGUACACCCCAAUCUCUUAUUCCCUCACAGAAAAUCAACCUUCCCCUUAUAUCAACCAUAACACCCUAAUAAAGAAAUAAAGAAUCCCACUUUUAGUCUUCACUCUCUACUAUCAAUAACUUCUUAUCUUUCCUCCUUUGCUUCUUUCUGUCCACAACACUUCUUCCUUUUUAUAUUUCUCACACCAAAAGUUUCUCACGGUAACCAUACUUAUAUAAUAAAUAUGCAAAAAACUUCAUUCCUCUUAUCUUCACUAAACCCAUCUAUAUUUCAUUCCUUUCUCAACUGUCUUUUAUACUACCAGUACAUUAACCCCUUACUUUUUCUUACAUUCUUAUCUUUCAAAGCUCUUUUCCUUGAGCUUACGCUUAUUCACCAUCAAACCCUAGGCGAGAACUAUACUUUCAUUCUCGAUCUCAUCUACGAUUUUUUCAUUAGGUCACCCCGUUCACACAUCCUCACACCUACUACUUCAUUUAUUUCAUAGACUACCCUUUUCUUCCUUUCCUCGGCGUACACACACUUCCAACCCUUUACGAACGACUACAUACAUCACCUCUGUUGGAAAAAGAAUGACUUAGUUUCAACACCAAGAGGGGGGUGAAUUGGUAAGUUUCAAAAAUCAGUGUCUUUUUCAAAUCUUUUUCGCAAAGUAUAAACCUUUCAAAAAGUUUCUUGAAUCUCAAGGAAAAAGAUAUAUCAGUGUAGCGAAAAUAAAGUUGACUAAGCAGAAAGUAAAGUCGACUUAAAGUAAAGAGUUUAGGGAUAGAGAAUAUCAAACAUAAUUUUAUACUGGUUCGGCCAAACUGCCUACAUCCAGUGUCCUUCCUAUACCUGGAAGCAAAUGCACUAUAAUGGUCAAGGUUUCUAUAGAGACCUCCACGUCAAAAUAUAAAACACCUCUCUAACCCUCUAACCAAAAUAUAGGCAUACAACACCCAAAGAAUAGCAGCAAGAUAUCCCC
This 3262-nucleotide long non-coding RNA is filed under the name Vigna radiata. RNAcentral describes it as "long non-coding RNA (VRAD_LNC008670)". The record is from RNAcentral. Lineage: Eukaryota; Viridiplantae; Streptophyta; Magnoliopsida; Fabales; Fabaceae.